RNAcentral lists this long non-coding RNA (403 nucleotides) under Homo sapiens (human). Lineage: Eukaryota; Metazoa; Chordata; Mammalia; Primates; Hominidae. The record is from RNAcentral.
UUUCACUGAUUUAGCUGUAUGACCCUUGGCAAAUGUUUUAAUCUACUUGAGCUUCAAUAUUUUAGUAAUAAGGAUUUUUUCUAAGGACUUGAUAACUAUCAGUGAAGUUAGAGCAACAGUUUAUGAAGCAGUCUGACAUACAAUACACGCUCAUUGUACAAAUUUGAAAAAUGUAGAAAAGCAUUGAGAUGAAAAAAAUUAUAAUCAUAUUACCCAGACAUAAUCAAUGUUUAAUAUUUUAGAAUAUAUUAUUCUAGUCUACUUUCAAUGCACAUGUGUUUUGUUUUUGUUUUUGUUUGAGACUCUGUCUCCAAAAAAAAAAAAAUGCUUGCUUCAGCAGCACAUACUAAAAUUGGAAUUAUACAGAGAAGAUUAGCAUAGCCCCUGCACAAGAAUGACGCAU